GACGAACGCUGGCGGCGUGCUUAACACAUGCAAGUCGAACGGAAAGGCCCUGCUUUUGUGGGGUGCUCGAGUGGCGAACGGGUGAGUAACACGUGAGUAACCUGCCCUUGACUUUGGGAUAACUUCAGGAAACUGGGGCUAAUACCGGAUAGGAGCUCCUGCUGCAUGGUGGGGGUUGGAAAGUUUCGGCGGUUGGGGAUGGACUCGCGGCUUAUCAGCUUGUUGGUGGGGUAGUGGCUUACCAAGGCUUUGACGGGUAGCCGGCCUGAGAGGGUGACCGGCCACAUUGGGACUGAGAUCCGGCCAAGACUCCUACGGGAGGCAGCAGUGGGGAAUAUUGCACAAUGGGCGGAAGCCUGAUGCAGCAACGCCGCGUGCGGGAUGACGGCCUUCGGGUUGUAAACCGCUUUCGCCUGUGACGAAGCGUGAGUGACGGUAAUGGGUAAAGAAGCACCGGCUAACUACGUG
This 468-nucleotide ribosomal RNA is filed under the name uncultured bacterium. Its description in RNAcentral is "partial 16S ribosomal RNA". It matches the Rfam family "Bacterial small subunit ribosomal RNA", at positions 28 to 507 of the family's 1533-position model. The record is from RNAcentral.